UUUUUUAACGUUAAAAAAGAAGCUCCAGAAGUUUGUAAAGAAAACAAAGAAUUAGAAGUCUCUAUGGAAGAGGAAAAGGAUACUGGAGAUAUAAAAGACAGAUCCCUACUGAAAGCAAAAAGAAAGCAUAAGAAAAAAACAUAAAGAGAGGCAUAAAAUGGGAGAAGAGGUUAUUCCAUUACGAGUACUAUCAAAGUACCGAGAUGGAUGAGAAGAGUGGAGACGGCCUGGUGAAGAAGGACGGCUGUGGGAGGAAAGAGAAAACGGGUGAUAUCCGCUUAAUUUCAGGGGACUUUAUCUCCUGAGCAAUUACUCACACAUAACUUUUUUUUGCCACACCUUGUGGCAUGUGGGAUCUUAGCUCACCUACCAGAGAGAGAACUCAGGCCCCCUGCAGUGGAAAUUCAGAGUUUUAACCACUGGGCCACCAUGGAAGUCCCCUCACAUAUACAUCUUAUUUAUGGCUUCCAGAGAGCUUCUUUGUAUUAAUUAUUGUGUCCAAUUCUGGCAACCAUCUUCAUUUCACAGAUGGAUCCACUUAGUCUUAGAAAAUAUGUAUCUGCCUGUGAUCACACAGCUAGUAAAUGGCAGAGAUUUGAAAUCAAAUUCCCUGAUCCCUAAAUUGACCUUUUUUCCAACUCUAUUCUUGCUAUCCAAAUCUGACCUGCAAUCUUGGUGGUAUUGAAGAUGGCUUUAGACCUGAGGUUGCCAGUUCAUAGGGUUGCAAAGAGUUGGACAUGACUGAACUGACUUAGCAUGCACGCACGCUUUAGCAUGACAGCAGUAGAAUUGAAUAGUUGUGAAGAUAUGGUCCACAGUACUGAAAAUAUACAUUAUCUGCCAUGGUACUGAAAAUAUACAUUAUCUGCCCUUUCCAGAAAAAAGGUUGUCAACCUCCACUUUAGAUGAUUCUUAAAUGCAUAUUUUAAGUUUUGACAGGUAGAGAAUUAUUUUAACCCAGUUUAGAAAAAAUAUAACCAGCAUGCAAAAACUGUGGUUUCAUGAAUAUUAUCGUUUAGGAGGAAACUGAGUUUAGAGAGCAUACUAAAGUAAAGGACUUCUCUUGUGCUACAGUGGAUAGGAAUCUGCCUGCCAAUGCAGGAGACGUGGGUUCAAUUCCUGGUCCGGGAAGAUUCUGCAGAGCAACUAAGCCCUCAAACUGUUGAAGCCCAUGUGUCUAGAGCCAGUGCUCCACAACAAGAGAAACCACCCCAAUGAGAAGUCUGCACGCUGCAGUGAAGAGUAGCCCCUCUGUCUGCCACUAGAGAAAGCCUUGCAGCAAUGAAGACCUAGAGCCACCAAAAGUAAAAUAAUAAUAAUAGUAAAGUGGACCUAAUGAACUAGUACAUAAUGGUAUAAAUGAUCUUUGGCUCAGGAAAAAUUGUGAAAGUGGGGAAGGAGGGGCUGAUAUUUGAGGACCACUGGGCUGUGCAGAUGCUGAGCAAUAACGGUGGAUGCUGAGCUCCACCAGAAAGCUUCGGGCCAACCCCUCUGCCUGGAAUGGUGGCUGCUGCUCUUCUCAGAUAACCGUGAUAGUUAAUAAUGGGCUGCUAUGCCUGGUGCUUUCCAUUUCUCAAAGGAUUUUCACAUCAAUUAUCUCAAAUGGAUAUCAUUAUUUCCACUUAACGAAUUCAUCCAUUAAUUCCUUAACAAGGAUUUAUUGAGCAUCUAUCAUGUACCAGGUGGUAUUUUAGAGGCUGGGGAUAUAGCCAGGAACAAAAUGGGCAGAGUUGCUGUAUCUGUAUCUAUAAGCUUAUUUUUUCCUUCUUUCUUUAGAUUCCACAAAUAAGUAAGAUCAUACAGUAUUUGUCUUUCUCUGUCUUACUUACUUCACUUAUCAGAAUGCCCUCAAGGUCCAUCCGUGUUGUCACAGCUGGCAAGAUGUCCUUUUUUAUAGCUGAAUGUCAUGCCACACUUCCUUUAUCCAUACAUCCACUGACGCACACUCAAAUUGUUUUCAUACCUUGUAAAUAAUGUUGCAGCGAACAUGGGGAUGCAUCUAUCUUUUCAAAUGAGUGGUUUUGUUUUCUUUGAAUAAAUACUCAAAAGUGAAAUUGCUGAAUCAUA
Long non-coding RNA from Bubalus bubalis (water buffalo), 2067 nucleotides. RefSeq lists it as uncharacterized. Lineage: Eukaryota; Metazoa; Chordata; Mammalia; Artiodactyla; Bovidae. The transcript has 3 exons. The record is from RefSeq and is a predicted model, not a curated record.